RNAcentral lists this ribosomal RNA (518 nucleotides) under uncultured Glomus. RNAcentral's name for it is "SSU rRNA". It matches the Rfam family "Eukaryotic small subunit ribosomal RNA", at positions 569 to 1089 of the family's 1831-position model. The record is from RNAcentral. Lineage: Eukaryota; Fungi; Glomeromycota; Glomeromycetes; Glomerales; Glomeraceae.
AGCAGCCGCGGUAAUUCCAGCUCCAAUAGCGUAUAUUAAAGUUGCUGCAGUUAAAAAGCUCGUAGUUGAAUUUCGGGACUAAUAUGUCGGUCGUGCCUCGGUACGUACUGGCUUAUUGGUUUCUCCUUUCUGAAGAACCAUGAUGUCAUUUAUUUGGUGUCGUGGGGAAUCAGGACUGUUACUUUGAAAAAAUUAGAGUGUUUAAAGCAGGCUCACGCUUGAAUACAUUAGCAUGGAAUAAUGAAAUAGGACGUUUGAUUCUAUUUUGUUGGUUUCUAGGAUCGACGUAAUGAUUAAUAGGGAUAGUUGGGGGCAUUAGUAUUCAAUUGUCAGAGGUGAAAUUCUUGGAUUUAUUGAAGACUAACUACUGCGAAAGCAUUUGCCAAGGAUGUUUUCAUUAAUCAAGAACGAAAGUUAGGGGAUCGAAGACGAUCAGAUACCGUCGUAGUCUUAACCAUAAACUAUGCCGACUAGGGAUCGGAUGAUGUUAAUUUUUAAUUGUACUCAUUCGGCGUCCG